Long non-coding RNA from Numida meleagris (helmeted guineafowl), 1259 nucleotides. RefSeq lists it as uncharacterized. The transcript has 7 exons. Lineage: Eukaryota; Metazoa; Chordata; Aves; Galliformes; Numididae. The record is from RefSeq and is a predicted model, not a curated record.
AAUGUUCCUGGCACAAUCCCGGGGAGGCUGGCUGGGCCCUGCUGGCAGGAGCCCCCUUAGGACUGGGAUCAGGUUGACCCAAACUUCACUGAUCCCCUACUGGGGAUGCUUUGCUUUCCUACAGGAGAAAAGUCAGCUUGUGUGAGGAGAAGGUCAGGGUGGGAGAAGAAGGGAGCCUUCAGCAGAGUGCCUGCAGAGCUUUGCUGCAACCUUCUGCGCUGCAACAAGAGAAAACUGAAGCGUGCCUUUGGCUUUCAGUCCCAAACUGUGGGAUCUUGCAAGCCACAUUCUUAUUUGGGAAGAGAACUAGGGAGCUGAGAGCCAUUGCCUGCUGCCUGCUUGCCACUGAGCUGAACCGUGCAAAGCCUUCUUGAAGAAGGCAACCUAUGUGGCUCUGAGGAACUUCAGCACAUCGCUUUGUCGGGCCGUUACCUGAUCCUCUUCUGCAUCAUGAUAUUGAGCCAAGAGCACCUGGGGGUCAGAGACGGUCUGUUGGGUUCUAUGCUGCAGAGAAAGUCCCUGAUUUUGUGUCCAGCUUGCCACAGCUAAAAAAGCAUGGCUGCUUGGAACCUCUUGAAAUUAAAAUGUAAUUCAAGAAAUAAUGGGAAAGCAUUUCAGCAGCAGAUGUUCACUCUUACUUGAAGACCUUAGCAGCCCAGAGCACAGGAGCCCGUGGCUCCCAGCAAGCUCUGCUCUGCUGCUUCCUCGCUGACCAUGGAGCCUAUUGAAACAAUUUUUUGCUUAAAUCAGCAAAGGGAAAAAACAAAAUCCCCAAACUAUCAAAAGAAAAUAAAAGGUCUCCUAAUGGUCCCUAGUGUUAUCUGAAAUGAAGAAAAAUGAUCUCCAGAUCCUUUGUGGACAGAUGUGUUUAUAACUGAUGCUAAUCUUCAAGUCAAACUAAUCUGCAUUCUUCAGAGAGGGAAAGAAAAUAUUUUUUUCCCCAAAAUGUUUACACAUUGCCUGAGCUUGAUGUAUUAUCAUUACAGUGGCAUGGACAGCUGGUAUUUCCAUUCCUAAUAUCUGGGCAGCAGAAAAAGUGAGCAAGUAGCUUUAAAUACUAGUUGAAGCAGAGCAAACCAUGGAAGGAACAAAUAAUUUUUUUCCCUUGAAUGGAAUAUUUUUCAAUAAUUUUCAACACAUCUGGUGCAAAUGAGUCUAAAAUUCAGGACUGGGGAGGGAAUUUCCUUUGGGUCAGAUUUAAUAUUUUGGUAGAUAUGAAGUAUGAGGAUUACAAGGGAGUGGUCUUUCAGUAUCUACAG